GACGAACGCUGGCGGCGUGCCUAAUACAUGCAAGUUGAGCGAUGAAGAUUGGUGCUUGCACCAAUUUGAAGAGCAGCGAACGGGUGAGUAACGCGUGGGGAAUCUGCCUUUGAGCGGGGGACAACAUUUGGAAACGAAUGCUAAUACCGCAUAACAACUUUAAACAUAAGUUUUAAGUUUGAAAGAUGCAAUCGCAUCACUCAAAGAUGAUCCCGCGUUGUAUUAGCUAGUUGGUGAGGUAAAGGCUCACCAAGGCGAUGAUACAUAGCCGACCUGAGAGGGUGAUCGGCCACAUUGGGACUGAGACACGGCCCAAACUCCUACGGGAGGCAGCAGUAGGGAAUCUUCGGCAAUGGACGAAAGUCUGACCGAGCAACGCCGCGGGAGUGAAGAAGGUUUUCGGAUCGUAAAACUCUGUUGGUAGAGAAGAACGUUGGUGAGAGUGGAAAGCUCAUCAAGUGACGGUAACUACCCAGAAAGGGACGGCUAACUACGUG
Molecule: ribosomal RNA, 497 nt
Filed under: uncultured bacterium
Lineage: Bacteria
Description: partial 16S ribosomal RNA
Rfam family: Bacterial small subunit ribosomal RNA
Source: RNAcentral